This 406-nucleotide ribosomal RNA is filed under the name Staphylococcus agnetis. RNAcentral describes it as "bacterial LSU rRNA". It matches the Rfam family "Bacterial large subunit ribosomal RNA", at positions 2517 to 2925 of the family's 2925-position model. The record is from RNAcentral. Lineage: Bacteria; Bacillati; Bacillota; Bacilli; Caryophanales; Staphylococcaceae.
UUUGGCACCUCGAUGUCGGCUCAUCGCAUCCUGGGGCUGUAGUCGGUCCCAAGGGUUGGGCUGUUCGCCCAUUAAAGCGGUACGCGAGCUGGGUUCAGAACGUCGUGAGACAGUUCGGUCCCUAUCCGUCGUGGGCGUAGGAAAUUUGAGAGGAGCUGUCCUUAGUACGAGAGGACCGGGAUGGACAUACCUCUGGUGUACCAGUUGUCGUGCCAACGGCAUAGCUGGGUAGCUAUGUAUGGACGGGAUAAGUGCUGAAAGCAUCUAAGCAUGAAGCCCCCCUCAAGAUGAGAUUUCCCAACUUCGGUUAUAAGAUCCCUCAAAGAUGAUGAGGUUAAUAGGUUCGAGGUGGAAGCGUAGCGAUACGUGGAGCUGACGAAUACUAAUCGAUCGAAGACUUAAUCAA